UCGGACGCGGCUUGGCGGGACCGGAGGCAUUCCGCUUGGGACGGGAGGUGCCGGAAGUCGUCGGUUUGCCGGAUCCCGGCCGGCCUCCGUC
RNAcentral lists this transfer RNA (91 nucleotides) under Acidobacteria bacterium ADurb.Bin340. Its description in RNAcentral is "tRNA-Pro". Lineage: Bacteria; Pseudomonadati; Acidobacteriota. The record is from RNAcentral.